UACGGGAGGCAGCAGUGGGGAAUAUUGCACAAUGGGCGAAAGCCUGAUGCAGCUAUGCCGCGUGUAUGAAGAAGGCCUUAGGGUUGUAAAGUACUUUCAUCGGGGAGGAAAAACAAAACUAAUAAUUUUAUUUCUUGACGUUACCCGAAAAAGAAGCACCGGCUAACUCCGUGCCAGCAGCCGCGGUAAUACGGAGGGUGCUAGCGUUAAUCAGAAUUACUGGGCGUAAAGAGCACGUAGGUGGUUUUUUUAAGUCAGAUGUGAAAUCCCUGGGCUUAACCUGGAACUGCAUUUUGAAACUGAAAUACUAGAGUAUCGUAGAGGGAGGUAGAAUUCUAGGUGUAGCGGUGAAAUGCGUAGAUAUCUGGAGGAAUACCUGUGGCGAAAGCGGCCUCCUAAACGAAUACUGACACUGAGGUGCGAAAGCGUGGGAGCGAACAGGAGUAGUAUAC
RNAcentral lists this ribosomal RNA (452 nucleotides) under uncultured bacterium. RNAcentral describes it as "bacterial SSU rRNA". It matches the Rfam family "Bacterial small subunit ribosomal RNA", at positions 340 to 786 of the family's 1533-position model. The record is from RNAcentral.